This is an RNA transcript of Brassica rapa (field mustard), 3020 nucleotides long. It is a transcript of the gene named fatty acid amide hydrolase, with no coding region annotated. The record is from RefSeq and is a predicted model, not a curated record. NCBI's taxonomy places the organism in Eukaryota, Viridiplantae, Streptophyta, Magnoliopsida, Brassicales, Brassicaceae.
UAUAUAAUUUGUUUUAUUUUUAUUAUUAUAAUUGAAUUUAUUAAUUUUAUUUUAUUUUUCUUAACUUUUCCUGCAUUUGGAUCAACUUUUAGAAAUUAUAUUGAAUUUUUAUCUAAUUUAAUUUGUUUUUAUUAUUUAAAAUAAUUAAAAAUAUUUUUUAAUAAAAAGUAAACUUCCAUAUCACCGAUUUUUACCUAGUAAUGAACAGUAACCAAUCACAAUUUUGACGUGUGCAAUAAUUAAGUUAGUCUCGAUGUUUAUAUGUUAUUUAAACAAGUUCAUUGUUUAAUGUGUUAUCAGUUGAGCUUCAAGGUUUAAAGUACAAACUUUUGUCAACUUCAUGGUUUUCUUAUGCGAUUUUAUCAAUCCAUUUCAGCCAAAACUUUUCACAUUCACUAUUGAUAUUGUAGACUAGAUAAUACACAUACUUUGAUUUCUACUAGAUCUCGAGCAUGCUGAUGAGUUUCUCAAUAAGUAAAAGCCUCUUUAUAAUUCAAGUAAAUAUAAUUUUCUUGCCAUUGACGUGAAAUCGUUCGAAGAAUCAAAAUAUUUAGUAACAAAUAGAUCCUAUAAAUUCUACUAGGGGCUAUACCAAAUUCUGAUUUAGUUCAGCUUAAGUAAACCAAUACUUCAUGGAAACCAAAAAUCCAACUUGAAUGCAAUUUUAAAAAUCCGCACCAAAUCAAACCGACUAAACUAGUUUAUGUAUCCUAAGAAACCCCGAAAUUAGGAAGUAAACAAACCGAUUAUCGAUGCUUUAGAUUAUAAAGUCCAGUUGGACUGGGGGGAGAGUGUGCAAAAAAUAAUUACUGGGGCCAAAAUUAUAUUUUUAUAGAAAAGGGGAUGGUUUAGUUAAUUUGAAAUCUCGUUUCAACAAUCGAGACAAGUUCAUUCAAAUCAAGUAAGUACAGUAUAAUGCAAAAAUUGGGUUACAAGUCUCCAACAACUUCGGCGCUCAUCCGCACGACUCUGCGUCGAAUCAAGUUGGUGGUAAGCUUCAUUACCUAAUCCUCCGAUCACAGCUUCUUUUGUUUCGUUGCUUAGAUGAACAGAACCAAUGCUCUUCUAACCAUCCUUACCCAAAUCAAAGCACUGCGCCAUACUCAACAGCUCCACGCGAAUGCUAUAGUCCAUGGACUCGAAGAAGAAGUCGUUCUCGGAUCCAGUCUCACAAACUCCUACAUCCAAUCGAAUCGUCUCGAUCUCGCCACCGCUUCCUUCGAUCGAAUCCCUCCCCGGAAGAGGAACCGUUACUCGUGGAACACGAUCCUCUCCGGUUACUCCAAAUCCAAGAAUCACUGCGAAAGCUUGCGUCUUUACAAUCGUAUGAGGAGGGAUUGCGAUGGCGUCGUCGACAGUUUCAAUUUAGUGUUCGCGAUCAAAGCUUGUGUGGGGUUAGGGGUUUUAGAGAAUGGGGUUCUGAUUCACGGAUUGUCGAUGAAGAAUGGGUUGGAUAAGGACGCUUAUGUGUCUCCUUCUUUGGUCGAGAUGUAUGGAGAGCUUGGUCGUAUGGAAGAUGCGCAGAAGGUGUUCGACGAAAUUACUCUGAGAAGCUCGGUUCUUUGGGGGGUUUUGAUGAAAGGGUAUUUGAGAUACUCGAGAGACUCUGAAGUGUUUCGUUUGUUUUAUCUCAUGAGAGAGGCGGGUUUGGGGGUCGAUAAUGCGCUUACGUUGAUAUGUUUGGUGAAGGCUUGUGGGAAUGUCUUUGCUGGUAAAGAAGGGAAGUCAGUGCACGGUUUAUCCAUCAGAAGGGGGUUUAUAGAUCAGAGUGGCUAUUUACAAGCCUCUGUUGUAGAUAUGUAUGUGAAAUGCAGGUUGUUGGAUAAUGCUAGAGAGAUGUUUGAAACAAGUGUUGAUAAGAAUGUGGUGAUGUGGACAACGCUGGUUUCUGGAUUUGCAAAGUGUGAGAGAGCUGUUGAAGCCUUUGAUCUGUUCAGGCAGAUGCUGAGAGAAUCUGUUCUUCCGAAUCAAUGUACUUUAGCGGCUCUUCUUGUUUCUUGCUCGAGCUUGGGGUCUCAGAGGCACGGGAGAAGUGUUCAUGGUUACAUGAUAAGAAACGAGAUUGAAAUGGACGCUGUAAAUUUUACAUCUUUCAUCGACAUGUACGCUAGAUGCGGGAACAUUCGAAUGGCUAGGAAGGUUUUCGAUAUGAUGCCAGAGAGAAAUGUGAUAUCUUGGAGCUCUAUGAUCAAUGCUUUUGGGAUAAAUGGUAUGUUAGAGGAAGCUCUGGAUUGUUUUGGUAAAAUGAAGUCGCGGAACCUAACUCCAAAUUCCGUGACAUAUGUCUCGCUUUUGUCGGCCUGUAGCCAUUCGGGAAACAUCAAAGAAGGACGGAAGCAGUUUGCGUCGAUGACAAGUGACUACAGGAUUGCACCAGAGGAAGAGCAUUACGCGUGUAUGGUAGACUUGCUAGGUCGAGCUGGUGAAGUUGGUGAAGCUAAGUCUUUUAUCAAUAACAUGCCUGUGAAACCAAUGGCCAGUGCUUGGGGAGCUCUUCUGAAUGCAUGUAGAAUCCAUAAAAAAAUCGACUUAGCAGAAGAAAUAGCAGAGAAGCUUUUAUCCAUGGGAUCCAAUGAAUCAAGCGUCUACGUGUUGCUUUCCAACAUAUAUGCUGAUGCUGGGAUGUGGGAGAUGGUGAAUAGUGUGAGAUCGAAAAUGGGUAUGAAAGGAUAUACGAAACCCAUGGGACUGUCUGCUAUAGAAGUCGCCUAGAAACAUUCAGCUAUUGAUCUUGCAGCCUAGUCAAAAUAAUACAAAUCGGGUAUACGUGAGCAAGCAUUCAAGUUCCCAACCACUUCACCGCUCAUCCGCACGGCUUCUUCAAAUCCGCGUCGAAGCAAGUUGUUGAUAAGCUUCAUCACCUAAUCCUCUGCCGAUUCACAUCACCGUCACAGUUGACCAUGGCAAAUGCUCCUGCACUUUGAUUUUUUUUCCUGUAAAUGCCACUCUGUUUUCCGAAGUUAUCGUCUCACAACGGAGGCAAUGCUAUAGGAUCUCUACGACUAGGGAAAUAUACUAGG